ACCUGAGGUCCUUAUAUACUAUCUAGUUCAGCUUUAGCUCUGAAAUCCUUAUAUACUAUCUAGUUGAGUUUUCUCUUAGGUCUUUAUAUACUAUCUAGUUCAGUGUUAACUUCAUUGUGUACAUUUAUUAUCUAUUUAUUAGCCUCUCCCAGCAGGAAGUAGUUUAAUAUACCUUAAAAAGCUACUAAGUCACCCUUUGAUUGUUCUCUCACAUAUAGUAAAGUAGGUGUUUGUGUCUUCGAUCAAUAUAUAUUUUUGGCUAUUAAUCUUUUUUAUUUCUCUAUUUCUGAAAUUAUUUAUAGGUAAAAAAAAUAAUAAUUA
Biomphalaria pfeifferi is the source of this 321-nucleotide non-coding RNA. The record is from the annotation of a GenBank genome assembly. NCBI's taxonomy places the organism in Eukaryota, Metazoa, Mollusca, Gastropoda, Planorbidae.